RNAcentral lists this ribosomal RNA (492 nucleotides) under uncultured bacterium. RNAcentral's name for it is "partial 16S ribosomal RNA". It matches the Rfam family "Bacterial small subunit ribosomal RNA", at positions 29 to 507 of the family's 1533-position model. The record is from RNAcentral.
AGUGAACGCUGGCGGUAGGCCUAACACAUGCAAGUCGAACGGCAGCACAGUAAGAGCUUGCUCUUACGGGUGGCGAGUGGCGGACGGGUGAGGAAUACAUCGGAAUCUACUUUUUCGUGGGGGAUAACGUAGGGAAACUUACGCUAAUACCGCAUACGACCUACGGGUGAAAGCAGGGGAUCUUCGGACCUUGCGCGAUUGAAUGAGCCGAUGUCGGAUUAGCUAGUUGGCGGGGUAAAGGCCCACCAAGGCGACGAUCCGUAGCUGGUCUGAGAGGAUGAUCAGCCAGACUGGAACUGAGAACCGGCCCAGACUCCUACGGGAGGAAGCAGUGGGGAAUAUUGGACAAUGGGGGCAAGCCUGAUCCAGCCAUACCGCGUGGGUGAAGAAGGCCUUCGGGUUGUAAAGCCCUUUUGUUGGGAAAGAAAAGCAGCAGGUUAAUACCCCGCUGUUCUGACGGUACCCAAAGAAUAAGCACCGGCUAACUUCGUG